GAUUGAAAAUCUUUUGUUAAGAAAGGACCGGUUCUGAGUGUAGCAUGCGGUUGCAACUGCAUCAGCCCAGAAGUAUAACGGAAGAGAAGCGAAACUGAGCAUGGUUCUGGCUGCCUCACAUAAAGAACGGUUUCGCCUUUCAACAAUCCCAUUCUGUUGUGGUGUAUAAGGGACCAAAAAGUUGUGAGUUAUCCCCUUAUUAGCCAGAAAUUCCUGAAAGUCUUUAUUCUUGAAUUCCGGCCCAUUGUCCCUCCUGAUAUUUCUCACCGUCUUUUUCAGCUGAACUUCCAAUUGCUUAAUAAAUGUCUUCAACUUGGAAGUUGCUUCUGAUUUCUGUUUAAGAAAGUAAACCCAGGUGAAGCGUGAAAAAUCAUCGAAAAUGACAAGUAUGUACUUACUACCACCGAUGCUUUCGAUAGCCGAAGGUCCAUAUAAGUCAAUGUGCAAUAGUUCAAGAGCUUCAACAAUCUUUGUGUUUUUUCUGGUAGGAUGGCUCUUUCUGCUUUGUUUGCCCAUCUCACACGCUGCACACAGAUGUUCCUUGUCAAACUUGAGAAGAGGGAGGCCUCGAACAUGGUCACCAAGCACCAACUUAUUAAUGUCUUUGAAGUUCAGAUGCGAUAAAUGUCGAUGCCACAACCAGCUUUCAUCUGUGUUUUCCUUUGAUAGCAGACAUAUUGUUGGUUUUCCUCUUAUUGGGUUGAGAUUUAAAGGAUACAUCUCUCCCUUGCGUUCAGACUUUAGCAGAACCUUUUUCGAACGCUUUUCAAUGAUUUCAGAACCUUCGUCAUCAAAUGAUACUUUCAGACCUAUUCCUACAACUAAUUGUGACACGCUGAUGAGGUUAUGUUGCAAACCUUCCACAUAUUCCACUUUUCAAAUCGAGAAAUCUCCAUUGGUUGUCAUACCGUAUACCUUGAUUGUUCCAUAGGAGUUAUUUCCAUACUUUACACACCCACCAUCUUUUAGGGACCAAAACUCCCUCAGCUCUUCCUUCCUUCCUGUCAUGUGACGUGAGUAGCUACUUUCUAUAUACCAUUCAUCAUCAAACUGCUCGUCAAAAAGCACCUGCAAAUUCAAGCUGAUUUAGGAACCCAAAGUUUCUUGGGUCUUGGUGAGUCUUUCACAGAAAAAGGAAUUACAGAGGAAAUAUCAACCAAAAAUGUUCUUUUUACUAAAGUGGUUUAAUCUUUUCGUUUAAUGGUAUACACCAUGAUUUUAGUUUUAUCUUGUUUAAAUAUUGGUGUGUUAUUUGUUGGUUUAGGAUUUUUAUUUUUGAAUCCUAGGGUUAGCUGUCUUUUUCUUAUCAUAGAAUUCAGAAUCUGAUGCUAGCUUUCCCUUUCCUUUGAUGUCCUUUGCAUAAUUUAUUUUUCACUUUGAAUAGGAAGAACCAAAACUAGUGUUGGGACCAAAACUCGACUUUCGGUUCUGAGAGCCGAUGCGGGGACCAAAACUUGACUUUUGGUUUGGUAUGCUAGUUUGGGAACCGAGAGCUGAUGUUCGGUUCCGACAUUUGGAGUAGUAGGAAUUUGGGCUGAAAGUUUCUUUUCCUUCUAGUUCUUCCUUUCCAUUAUCCGUUGACGCUUUCUUAGGAGGUACAUAGUUGGGUUUUUGAGAUUCCUAGUAAUGUUUUCGCUCAUUCAAGUUCUGUGCAUAUCUUUUAUUUCUUAAGCGUUUCAGUUCUGCUAACUCCUUCUGUGAUUUGUGGAUAUUGAAGCUAGCCUUUGGCUUCCGCUUUUGACUUUCGGUUGUAUUUGUUGGAACAUAUGGUUCUGUCAUCGGUUCUUCAGGGAUUUCUUUAGUUCCACUUGUGCUUGGUUUGUCGAAACUUGAGGUUUUGUUGAUGGGUUCAACAACAUAUCUUCCUUUAACCCUCCAUGAAGUUUUCUCAGACAAGCCUACGGUUUCAUCUGCGUUGUCAACAGUGUUAGAUUAGUGUCUAAGCCCGUAACCAUAUUUGGUAAGUACUUGACCCGGUUGUGCAUGGUCCUUUUGGGUUGCCUUCACCAAAGCAACUUGACUGGAGAAAUAAAUAGAGAAAGAGGUUAUUAUGAUUUAUUAAUAUAUUAUAAGAAUAUUAUAUUAAAGGAGAAAUCAUAUUUGUUUAAUUAAUAUUGGUCGAUAAUUAAUUAGGAAUUAAUUUUGUGAUCAAGUGUAAUUAAUUAAAAUAGAGGGGCUGAAUUAUAAUUAUGUGAUAGUUGCAAAAUAGGGCAAUGGUUACCCUAGAUAUAGGUUGGACGAAUUCAAGGGAUAAGGAUCCUUGAAAUCGUCCAAGGAUAUGGCUUUCAACGCUUAUCUUAUGGUUACUUGGUGGGCAAGCAACUAGAUAAGGAUAAGGACUGAAACCCAAAUCUCUACCCUAUAUAACGACUCCUAAGGCCAUAGAAAUCGUCCCAACUUGAUCCCUAGGGUUCUAGAGCCGAUUUCUACCUCUCCUCUUCUCUUUCUAUUGCCUCUCCAAUUGCUUGUGGUGUUUGUGAGCCAUUAGAGGUACUACACUUGUGGUACUUGCUUUCAAGACUUAGGGUUUGAAGAUUUGAGUUGUUAUUGCAAUAUAACAACAAGAGGUAUGUGAUCUAUCCUUCUACAUAAAUUUCGAAAAUACUAGAAGCAUGCUAGGGUUCUUCAUGUGUUCAUAAUGUUGUAUAUCUAAUAGAGGAAACAUAGAUCCAAAUCUAGGGUUGCAUGCAUACAUAGGAUUGUUUGUACAAAACCCAUCAGUGGUAUUAGAGCUUUUGGUUGAAUUGUUUUCAAUUAGUAUUAUACAAUUGUAUAAAUUUGACACUUUAGGGUUUAUGGCCAAUAAACCCUGGGAGGCUUGCAUUUCAAUUUUAGGGUUUCUUGAACCCUUGUGUUCGAAAUUUUGAAGGGUUUUCAAACCCUUUCCUUGUUGCCCAAGAUUUCGAGAUCUAGGGUUUGCAAACCCUAGAUUUUCGAGAUCUUGCCUCCCCCCAAGAUAAGUCCCUAAAAUCUAGGGAUUUCGAUAAUCCCAUAUCUUGUAAUUAUCUUUUAAUUGUUAAAUUUGGUAAUUAAGGAUUUUGAAUUAUCCCCUCCCUAUUUUCGAAAUUUAGUGGGAUUUAAGGGAUUAGGAUAAAUUUAAUUGUUUAAUUUAUAAUAAUCCUUUAUGAUUUAGUAAUUAGAAUUAAUUGUUUAAUUUGAAUAAUUAUUAAAUCAAGAGUUUUAAUAUUUAAAAUUUUAAUUUAAAAGUGAUAAAUUUUGAAAAUUUUAAAUUGAGAUUAAAACCCUAGUAUUUUUAAAAUGUUUAAAAUACACCCUCUACUAUUAUAUUAUUACAAGAUUAAUAUAUGUAUUACAAGAGUAAUACACCCUAUUAUUUUUAAAAUGUUUUANUAGUCUUACCAUUAGUAGGCCUCAUUCACGAACCCAAUCUAUAAAGGGGGUAUAAGGUUAUGGCCUAUAAAAUGGCCGUUUAAAGGGUAUCCACUCUUACCCACCGCUUCCUUGAUUGGUGGAGGGUAGUUAGCCGAACGAGUAGGAUUUGGCAAUCAUCUCUUUAUUAAUAAGUAUAAUGAAUCUAUGUAAAGUAACUAAACACUUUUACAAAUUCCCAAUCAUAGUUACUUUAGGCAAAAGUGAAAUUGAUGCAAUCCCAUGAAAUUGCACUUUGCACCCUUUCUAAGAAGUUAGUGGAGCGUGUGUGGUUAACCGGCACACUAAUUGGUUCUAAUCAAAGGUGGCAAAGGGUGACUCAUUGUUUAUCAUAGUUUGAUGGAGCGUGAAUGGUUUACCGGCACAUCGAAUAGGUGAUUGUAACAAUAAGGGAACCAUGCAGAUUUGCAUGGUUAUUCACACCUACUUUGUGAUCCUCGGCAUCCCAGUCACAAACGAGAGGGGCAUAUCAAGAUUUAAACAUGCCAUUGGAAAGUUCAAUGAAUCUUUAAGGAAAUCUAGGAAUUCUCAAUACAUUUAAAACUUAAGCGUUAUGUUUUUCAUGGUGAAGAAUUACUGAAUCGUCAUUCACUUACCUCCAAAUUAUUUGCAUGUUGAAUUACGGCAUCCCGUUUCUAAUAUAUAAAUAAUGUUGUUGGGUCCUAGCCCUAAUUUUCCAUUUUGGGUGUUUAGUUAGGGAUUUAAUUCUAAUCAAACCUUGUUCCUUUCUAUUUGUAGAUGUCUAACGUAAACAACGCUGCUGCUACCUCAUUCUCGCUAAUGAGCCUAUGUCAAAAGGUGACAUUUGAUGGAUCGAACUUUAGUGAAUGGAUAAUAUACAUUCGCACGAUUGCUCACUACGAGGACAAAGAGUAUGUCCUCGACGAGAAACUUGAAAAGAUCAAUCCGAAAAUCGCUACUCCCAGAGAAAUGGCUAUCUUUGAGACCCAUGAGCAUGAUGCAACGAAAGUCCAUUGCAUUAUGUUAGCCACAAUGAAUCACGAACUCCAAAAGUCCUAUGAGGACAUGUAUCCGUACGAAAUGCAUCAAGACUUGAUGGAGAGAUAUCACCAAAGCGCAAGGCAAGAGCACUAUGAGAUCAUCACAAACAUGAUCACCGCUAAGAUGGGAAGUGGAGAGUCUCUAACUGUGCACUUGCAAAAGAUGCAAAGAUAUGUUGAUCGUCUUUGCAAGUUAAAUGUUAACUUUGGGGAAGAUUUGGCAAUCGACAUCGUUCUUCACUCCUUGCCCUCGUGCUACAACCAAUUUAGGAUGACCUACCACAUGAACAAAGAAGAGGUCACCCUAAGUAAACUCAAAGGGCUCUUAAGGACUGCUGAGAGCAACCUCAAGGACAAGUCUGUUACAUUAGCUCCCACUCCACCCGCUGCUUCUAUUUUGGCUAUUGGGCAAGGGAGGGGCAAGAAGAGGAAGGCUUCUUCAAAGAGCCACCACAAGGGAAAGCCCCAAGAUGGUUCCUCCUCUAGUGGGGCCAAAGUUGGUCCUGCCAAGCCCAACUCAAACCCAAAGGAGGCAAAGUGCCAUCACUGCCACAAAAUAGGGCAUUGGAAGAGAAGUUGCCCGGAAUAUCUGCAAGCCAUCAAGGAUGGGAAGAUCAAGCCAUCUUUCGCAGGUAUUUACACAAUUAAAUCUAAUGAUUCAUCUCAUUCUAUUUCUUGGGUUCUUGAUACAGGAUGUGAUUAUCACAUAUGUUCUUAUUCGUAGGGACUAAGAAGAAAUAGAGAUAUGGAGUGUGGAAGAAUAAAUCUAAUCAUGGGGAACAAAAGAUCGUCGCCUGUCACCAAGAUUGGAGUGUAUUCUCUAGUUCUUAGUAAUGGAUUAGAUUUAGAUUUAAAUAAUUGUUGCUACUCGCCAGAUAUGGCAAGAAACAUCAUUUCAUUUCAUGGUUUGUUUAUACAAGGAUUUAGAUAUUCGUUUAAUAAUGAGAAUGGCUUGAUUUAUGCUUAUCUAAAUGGUGUUUUAUAUUUAGAAGCAAUGCCUUGUAAUGGAAUUUAUGAAACUGUUAUGGUUGUAGAUAACCUAGGAAAUGAUAUGUUGUGUAUGGAUUCUUCCAAUAGUAUGGAAAAAGCAUGCUUGUGGCAUUGUCAUCUUGGACAUGUCAACAAGAAGCGCAUAGCCUAACUCCAAAAGGAUGGAGUGUUGGAGUCAUUCGACCUUAGGGAAGAUGACACAUGCGAGUCUUGUUUACUUGGAAAGAUGACCAAGUCUCCCUUCAUUGGCACGUGUGAGAGGGGUGAGGAUUUCUUGGAUCUCAUACACACUGACGUGUGUGGGCCCUUUAGAUCCACCACAAAGGAUGCGAACCGCUUCUAUGUGACUUUCACCGAUGAUUAUAGUAGAUAUAGAUAUAUUUACUUAAUCAAGCACAAGUCAGAAACAUUUAAAAAGUUCAAAGAGUUUAAACAUGAAGUGGAGAAUCAAUUGGGCAGGAAAAGCAAGAUGCUUCGAUCUGAUCGAGGAGAAGAGUACUUAAGUCUUGAAUUCCACGACUAUCUCAAGGAAUGCCACCUAGGACACCACAGUUGAAUGGUGUGGCAAAAAGGUGUAAUCGAACCCUGUUAGACAUGGUUCGUUCUAUGAUGAGUCGUGCUUCACUACCUAUCUCAUUUUAGGGGUAUGCCUUAGUGACUACCGUUCAUAUCCUUAACCGAGUCCCUACAAAGAAGGUUGCCAAAACACCUCACGAGAUGUGGACCUCAUUGGCACAUAUCAAGGUUUGGGGCUGUGAGGUUUUCGUAAGACUAGAAACUCACGACAUGCUCGAACCUCGUAGUGAGCGAUGUAUUUUCAUCGGCUACCCGCAGAAAUCAUUUGGAUAUCUCUUCUAUAGACCGAGUGACAAUGUUGUCUUUGUUGCGAGGAGAGCGGUUUUCCGAGAGUGAGAACUCAUAAACCAAGGAGAUAGUGGGGGGCAAAUCGAUCUUAAUGAGAUUCAAGAGUCGAGUGAUGAAGGAACCUCUAUCACUGGCACCCAACCCGAGGAGGAAACUCCGGUUGAACCAAUUGACGAGUCCUUACCUCUUAGACGUUCCGAAAGAGUUAGAGUUUAACCCCAGUUUCAUGGUUUUCAUAUUACUACCGAAGGGGACACGUAUAUUAGUGAUGGUACACUAAUAAAUCUAGAUGAACCUAAUAGCUAUAAGGAAGCCAUGGCAGGCCCAGAGUCUUGUAAAAUCGAAAGAGGCGAUGGACAGCGAGAUUCAGUCCAUGUAUGACAACCAAGUUUGGAAUUUGGUUGACAAUGUGCCCAGACGUAAGACGGUUGGGUGCAAAUGCAUCUUCAAGAAGAAGAUCAACGUGGAUGGGAAUGUGCACACGUAUAAGGCGCGAUUGGUUGCGAAGGGCUUUACUCAAACUCCCGGAGUUGACUAUGAUGAGACCUUCUCGCUAGUUGCUAAAAUAAAGUCUAUUAGGGUGAUGCUAGCCAUUGCUACAUUUCAUGAUUAUGAAAUAUGGCAGAUGGAUGUCAAGACUGAUUUCCUUAACGGGAAAUUGGCUGAGGAUGUUUACAUGGCUCAGCCAGAGGGUUUUGUCGAUACGAAGCAUCCCAAUGGAGUGUGCAAGCUUGAGAAGUCCAUUUAUGGACUUAAGUAAGCAUCUCGCAGAUGCAAUCUUUGCUUCGAUGAGAAAGUGAAAGAGUUUGGAUUUGUACGAAGUGAAGAUGAAUCAUGUGUAUAUGUCAAAGCCAGUGGGAUUAUAGUUAGCUUCCUCGUAUUGUAUGUCGAUGACAUACUACUCAUAGGAAACGACAUCCCGAAUCUGCAGGAGGUUAAGUCCUGGCUCGGGAAGUGCUUCGCUAUGAAGGACCUCAGAGAGGCUUCCUAUAUUUUGGGAAUAAGGAUAGUGAGNAAAGUGCUUCGCUAUGAAGGACCUCGGAGAGGCUUCCUAUAUUUUGGGAAUAAGGAUAGUGAGAGAAAGAAGUAAGAGACUAAUAGGACUUAGUCAGAAUACUUACUUGGAUAAGGUACUAAAACGUUUUAGUAUGGAAAACUCGAAAAAAGGAGAACUACUGAUACAGAGUAAUGCCAAGUUGAGUAAGACUCAAAGUCCAAGUACCGAAGCCGAGAUAGCAGAUAUGAGCCGAGUACCUUACGCUUCCGCAGUUGGCUCAAUCAUGUAUGCUAUGACUUGUACUCGCCCUGAUGUGGCCUUUGCUUUGAGCAUGGUCAGUAGGUAUCAAGGGAACCCUGGCAUAGCACAUUGGACCGCAGUCAAGAAUAUCCUUAAGUACCUUCGGAGGACCAAGGAAUAGUUUUUGGUUCUCGGAGGGAGUGAUGACUUAAAGGUGCGAGGGUAUAGCGACGACAACUUUCAGACCGACAGGGACAACUAGCGUUCGCAGUCGGGCUGGGUCUUUAUACUCAAUAGGGGAGCAGUGACUUGGAAAAGUUCCAAACAAGAAACUGUAGCUGAUUCAACAUGCGAAUCAGAGUACAUUGCAGCGAGUGAAGCAUCUAAAGAGGCGAUAUCGUUAAAGAACUUCAUUGGAGACCUUGGAGUUGUACCUGCCCUAAAGGAGCCUAUGGAGAUUUUCUGUGAUAAUGAAGGAGCGGUUGCCUUGACCAAGGAACCGAGGGAUCAUGGUAGAUCUCAGCAUAUCGACAUAAAAUAUCACUUUAUUAGACAUCAAGUAGAAGAAGGACACCUCGUGGUUAAGAGGAUAUCGUCAGAGGAUAACCCAGCAAAUCCGCUUACAAAGGGACUGAAUAGGGUUAAACACUUGCAGCACGCUAGGAGUAUUGGGCUGAAGUAUGAUAUUUGUUUGGAUUAGAUAGUUUGGAAACUUGUAAUAGAUAAAUGUAAUUAACAUUUGAUGAUUAAAUAAAGGAGUAUUAUUUAAAAGUUUCUGUCUUAUGUUAAUUGUUUAACUAUUGUUUCACUUUGCAUGUUUUGACUUCCAGAAUAAUUGAGUUUAUUAAGAAUAAUCGAAUUAUUCAAACGGUCCACGGUCGUUCAUAUGUUGGGAGUAGGUAUGAGUGAAGACUGUCAUGAAUUGUUGUGUAGAUUGUCUGAAAAGUAUUAGACAUAACAAAAGGUUGUUACAACAUUCAUGAGUGCUUAUGAAAGAGUUUUGAGCAUUGGAAUAAACACGCGCUUGCUAGAAUCACUUCAUGGAAUGUCCUGCAAGUGAUCGCAAGACGUUAAUAUGAUAUGGUCUUAAAACCAAGAUAUAUGGUUUAUUGUUUGCUAAUUGGUUGUGCAUUGAUAAUGCGAAACCGCAUCAGUAAAUUGAUGUCAUAAAAUGCAUUAUUGUGUAUAGUUGAUUAGUGAAUAGUAAAUGCAUCAGUAAGUUGAUGCCAUCUUUCGCAGGUAUUUACACAAUUAAAUCUAAUAAUUCAUCGCAUGCUAUUUCUUGGGUUCUUGAUACAGGAUGUGGUUAUCACAUAUGUUCUGAUUUGCAGGGACUAAGAACAAGUAGGGAUGUGGAGCGUGGAAGAAUAAAUCUAAUCAUGGGGAACAGAAGAUCGUCGCCUGUCACCAAGAUUGGAGUGUAUUCUCUAGUGCUUAGUAAUGGAUUAGGUUUAGAUUUAAAUAAUUGUUGCUACUCGCCAGAUAUGGAAAGAAACAUCAUUUCAUUUCAUGGUUUUUUUAAACAAGGAUUUAGAUAUUCGUUUAAUAAUGAGAAUGGUUCGAUUUAUGCUUAUCUAAAUGGUGUUUUAUAUUUGGAAGCAUUGCCUUGUAAUGGAAUUUAUGAAACUGUCAUGGUUGUAGAUAAACUAGGAAAUGAUAUAUUGUGUAUGGAUUCUUCCAAUAGUAUAGAUAAAGCAUGCUUGUGGCGUUGUCAUCUUGGACAUGUCAACAAGAAGCGCAUAGCCCAGCUCCAAAAGGAUGGAGUGUUGGAGUCAUUCGACCUUAGGGAAGAUGACACGUGCGAGUCUUGUUUGCUUGGAAAGAUAACCAAGUCACCCUUCACUAGCACUUGUGAGAGGGGUGAGGGUUUAUUGCAUCUCAUACACACUAACGUGUGUGGGCCCUUUAGAUCCACCACAAAGGAUGCGAACCGCUUCUAUAUGACUUUCACCGAUGAUUAUAGUAGAUAUGGGUAUGUUUACUUAAUCAAGCACAAGUCAGAAAUGUUUGAAAAGUUCAAAGAAUUCAAACAUGAAGUGGAGAAUCAAUUGGGUAGGAAAAUCAAGAUGCUUCGAUCCGAUUGAGGAGGAGAGUACCUAAGACUUGAAUUCCACGACUAUCUCAAAGAAUGUGGAAUAGUUUCACAAUUGACGCCACCUAGGACACCACAACUUAAUGGUAUGGCAGAAAGGCAUAAUCGAACCCUGUUGGACAUGGUUCAUUCCAUGAUGAUUCGUGCUUCACUACCUAUCUCAUUUUGGGGUAUGCCUUAGUGACUACCGUUCAUAUCCUUAACCGAGUCCCUACAAAGAAGGUUGCCAAAACACCUCACGAGAUGUGGACAGGGAAAGCUCCCUCGUUGGCACAUAUCAAGGUUUGGGGCCGUGAGGUUUUCGUAAGACGAGAAACUCACAACAAGCUCGAACCUCGUAGUGAGCGAUGUAUUUUCAUCGGCUACCCGCAGAAAUCCUUUGGAUAUCUCUUCUAUAGACCGAGUGACAAUGUUGUCUUCGUUGCGAGGAGAGGGGUUUUCCGAGAGUAAGAACUCACAAACCAAGGAGAUAGUGGGAGGCAAAUCGAUCUUAAUGAGAUUCAAGAGUCGAGUGAUGAAGGAACCUCUGUCACUGGCACCCAACUCGAGGAGGAAACUCCGGUUGAACCAAUUGACGAGUCCUUACCUCUUAGGCGUUCCGAAAGAGUUAGAGUUCAACCCCAGUUUUAUGGUUUUCAUAUUACUACCGAAGGGGACACGUAUAUUAGUGAUGGUACACUAAUAAAUCUUGAUGAACCUAAUAGCUAUAAGGAAGCCAUGGCAGGCCCGGAGUCUGCAAAAUGGAAAGAGGCAAUGGAUAGCGAGAUCCAAUCCAUGUAUGAUAACCAAGUUUGGAAUUUGGUUGAUUAUGUGCCCGGACGUAAGACCGUUGGGUGCAAAUGGAUCUUCAAGAAGAAGAUCAACGUGGAUGGGAAUGUGCACACGUAUAAGGCACGAUUGGUUGCGAAGGGCUUUACUCAAACUCCCGGAGUUGACUAUGAAGAGACCUUCUCGCCAGUUGCUAAAAUAAAGUCUAUUAGGGUGAUGCUAGCCAUUGCUACAUUUCAUGAUUAUGAAAUAUGGCAGAUGGAUGUCAAGAAUGAUUUCCUUAAUGGGAAAUUAGUUGAGGAUGUUUACAUGGCUCAGCCAGAGGGUUUUGUCGAUACGAAACAUCCCAAUGGAGUGUGCAAGCUUGAGAAGUCCAUUUAUGGACUUAAGUAAGCAUCUUGCAGAUGGAAUCUUUUCUUCGAUGAGAAAGUGAAAGAGUUUGGAUUUGUACGAAGUGAAGAUGAAUCAUGUGUAUAUGUCAAAGUCAGUGGGAUUAUAGUUAGCUUCCUCGUAUUGUAUGUCGAUGACAUACUACUCAUAGGAAACGACACCCCGAAUCUGCAAGAGGUUAAGUCCUGGCUCGGGAGGUGCUUCGCUAUGAAGGACCUCGGAGAGGCUUCUUACAUUUUGGGAAUAAGGAUAGUAAGAGAAAGAAGUAAGAGACUAAUUGGACUUAGUCAGAAUACUUACUUAGAGAAGGUACUAAAACGUUUUAGUAUGGAAAACUCAAAGAAGGGAGAACUACCGAUACAAAGUAAUGCCAAAUUGAGUAAGACUCAAAGUCCGAGUACCGAAGCCGAGAUAGCAGAGAUGAGCCGAGUACCUUACGCUUCCGGAGUUGGCUCAAUCAUGUAUGUUAUGACUUGUACUCGUCCUGAUGUGGCCUUUUCUUUGAGCAUGGUCAGUAAAUAUCAAGGGAACCCUGGCAAAGCACAUUGGACCGCUGUCAAGAAUAUCCUUAAGUACCUUUGGAGGACCAAGGGAUGGUUUCUGGUUCUCGGAGGGAGUGAUGACUUGAAGGUGUGAGGGUAUAGUGACGCUAGCUUCUAGACCGACAGGGACAACUAUCGUUCGCAGUCAGGCUGGGUCUUUACCCUUAAUGGAGGAGCAGUGACUUGGAAAAGUUCCAAGCAAGAAACCGUAGCUGAUUCAACGUGCGAAUCAGAGUACAUUUCAGCGAGUGAAGCAUCAAAGGAGGCAAUAUGGUUGAAGAACUUCAUUGGAGACCUUGGAGUUGUACCAGCCAUAAAGGAGCCUACGGAAAUUUUCUGUGAUAAUGAAGGAGCGGUUGCCUUGACCAAGGAACCGAGAGAUCAUGGCAGAUCUCGAUAUAUCGACAUAAAAUAUCACUUUAUUAGACAUCGAGUAGAAGAAGGGAACCUCGUAGUUAAGAGGAUAUCAUCAGAGGAUAACCCAGCAGAUCCACUUACGAAGGGACUGUGUAGUGUUAAGCACUUGCAGCACGGUAGGAGCAUUGGGCUGAAGGACGAUAUUAGUUUAGAUUAGAUAGUUUGGAAACUUAUAGUAGAUAAAUGUAAUUGACAUUUGAUGAUUAAAUAAAGGAAUAUUAUUUAAUGGUGUCUGUCUUAUGUUAAUUGGUUAACUAUUGUUUCACUUUGCAUGUUUUGACUUCCAGAAUGAUUAAGUUUAUUAAGAAUAAUCGAAUCAUUCAUACGGUCCACAGUCGUUCAUAUGUUGGAAGUAGGUAUGAAUGAAGACUGUCAUGAAUUGGUGUGUAGAUUUUCUGAAUGAUAUUAGACAUAACAAACGUUUGUUACAACAUUCAUGAGUGCUUAUAAAUAAGUUUUGAGAAUUGGAAUAAACCCGCACUUGUGGGAAUCACUUCAUGAAAUCAAUCACAAGUGAUCGCAAGAUGAUAAUAUCAUAUGGUCUUAAAACCAAGAUAUAUGGUUUAUUGUUUACUGAUUAAUUAUACACUGAUAAUGCGAAACCGCAUCAGUAAAUUGAUGUUAUAAAACGCAUUGUUAUGUAUAAUUGAUUAGUGAAUAGUAAAUACAUAUAAGUCGAAGUUUAUCUGUUACUUUUAUCCUAAGAGGGUAAGAGCGAUAUCAGGGCCCCUCGAUGAUUUUGAUUUGACUUAUGUACCGGGCCCCGUCAGGACUAAAUUGAUGUGUUCAAUUAAGUUCUAUGUCAAAUGAAUCUGAGAUCGAGAAACUGAUUGUUGGAAUAAUAAAUAUGAAAAAUGUUUCAUGAGAUUGUUCGCACGAUAUCUAAACAGAGGACUAUACGAUCCCUUAUCUAAAGGACAGGUUACUGAUAAGAUCAGAGUUUGACAGCGUCUUUGAGAGCUACGAUUGCUAAUCAAGUUGUACUUGAAUUUGUGGUUACUAGACUUAUCCAAGUGGGAGACUGUUGGAUUAGUGUCUAAGUCCGUAACCAUAUUUGGUAAGUACUUGACCCGGUUGUGCAUGGUCCUUUUGGGUUGCCUUCACCAAAGCAACUUGACUGGAGAAAUAAAUAGAGAAAGAGGUUAUUAUGAUUUAUUAAUAUAUUAUAAGAAUAAUAUAUUAAAGGAGAAAUCAUAUUUGUUUAAUUAAUAUUGGUCAAUAAUUAAUUAGGAAUUAGUUUUGUGAUCAAGUGUAAUUAAUUAAACUAGAGGGGCUGAAUUGUAAUUAUGUGAUAGUUGCAAAAUAGGGCAACGGUUACCCUAGAUAUAGGUUGGACGAAUUCAAGGGAUAAGGAUCCUUGAAAUCGUCCAAGGAUAGGGCUUUCAAGGCUUAUCUUAUGGUUACUUGGUGGGCAAGCAACUAGAUAAGGAUAAGGACUAAAACCCAAAUCUCUACCCUAUAUAAGGACUCCUAAGGCCAUAGAAAUCGUCCCCACUUGAUCCCUAGGGUUCUAUAGCUGAUUUCUACCUCUCCUCUUCUCUCUCUAUUGCCUCUCCAAUUGCUUGUGGUGUUUGUGAGCCAUUAGAGGUACUACACUUGUGGUACUUGCUUUCAAGACAUAGGGUUUGAAGAUUUGAGUUGUUAUUGCAAUAUAACAACAAGAGGUAUGUGAUCUAUCCUUCUACAUGAAUUUCAAAAAUACUAGAAGCAUGCUAGGGUUCUUCAUGUGUUCAUAAUGUUGUAUAUAUAAUAGAGAAAACAUAGAUCCAAAUCUAGGGUUGCAUGCACACAUAGGAUUGUUUGUACAAAACCCAUCAAAUAGGGGCAGACCAGAAGUAAUCGUCACACCCUUCAGCAUUGUCUAUUUCUACCAAGACUCUUAAUUCUGUCGUUUGUCUUAUAGUGACCCCUAUAACUGCAUAGACCUGAUUUGGCACAGUCUGAACCUUUUGAUAAACCACAACUUUUUCCUUGAGUUUUGGUUACUUGUCAUUUUCCAUGCGAGCAAAUUCAACCGAGUUUUCUGAAAUGAGGGGUUUCUCAUUCUCGGUUUCGUUCUUCAUAAACAUAGAGCAAUCAACAACAUCUUCUACCGAGAUUUCACUUAUCUCACUUUCCUCAUCAAAUUCAGACGUAUUAUCUAAGUUCAUUUUAUUUUCUGAAGUUAAUUUAGCAUUGGACAGGUCAAAUGACUGAAUAGUGUCUGACUUUAUUUUCAACCUAUCAUUUUCAUCUAAAAUAUCUUUUAGCAUGCAUUUGUGUUCCUUAAAAUCAAUGAAGGUUUUUAUUUUGUCCAGUCCAAUUUUGUAAGACACGGAUGUAUCUUUUAAUGACACUACUGAUUCACAUUCUGCUAUGAUCUCGUCCUCCUUAAAUUCAAGGAAGGGUAAAAUCAUCUUAUGAAUUUUCUUUCCUAUCUCACAGCUUAAAUGUAAUUGAGCAAUAUUAGUGUAUAAAUGCUUAGCAAUUAAACAAAAAACAUUCCUUUGUUUUAAAAACUUCAAAUUGUCUCUUUGCAAAUAAAUAUUUUCAUCCCUAGCCCUAAUUAACUCUGCCUCCUUCAUCUCCAUCCACAUCCUUCUCUCCUCACUCCUUGAAGACACCCUGCUGAGUUGGUCAGUUAGGUUAGAAUCCGCUAAGCGAGUUUACAUGAGACUACCACUUAAGUUAGAAAAUUUAAAUUUUAACUCAUUUAAUUCUUCUUCAUAGUCUGUUAAUGGAACUUUAAGUGAUUCAAUGAUCGAUUGUACCUUUUUGAUCAAUCGAUCACAGUCAUUGAUCUUCUCACUGACAGGUUUAGCCGCAAAACACUUAUUCUCAGUUAGGUUCAGUUCCUCGUCUACACUUUCGGUUGAUAAUCCAGCGGUGACAAUUAAGCACUUUCCAGCCGAACCUAAUUCCUUUACCACAUAAGCCUUUCCAUGAGUGGGUUUUCUCACUUCUUCAUCUUCGGAGUCGGUUGACCAAACUUACGCCACCGAACUCAUCUUCAUCUGCAUUCUCUUGCACAAUCAAGGCAUUCAUAGAACUGUUAAAACUGUUUGUUGCCUUUUUUUCUUGAUUUCUUCCAGCUUGCGCAUAUAAUACGCCUUGUCAUCUUCACCAUCUCUUUUCUUAGCCAUUUUUCUCAGCAUGCAAUCUUUGGCGAAAUGGUUCUUUCCGUGACAGUAAUUGUAAUCGAACCCAGAGUCUCCUGCAAGCUUGCUCUCCUUCCUGUCUUCAUCCUUUUGAGAAGAAAUUUUCGCUUCAUCCUUUACCUUCUCUGAACUAUAACUUCCUUGCCAGUUUCGCUUUUUGUUGACAGGAAAUUUUCUUCACGCAAACUUCUUUGGAUUAGUGACCAUCAUAGCGUACUCUUCACUUGUGAGAUCACAUUCUGACCUAUCAGACUCUUCUUCUUCUUCUGCAAUGCUUUUUCCUUUUGAGAUAAGGGCCAGCGAUCCCAUACCACAUACUACCUUUGCUUCUUUGGUUACAACACUCUCAUGGGACUUAAGUAUUCCCACAAGUUUCGCUAGUGAGUAAGAUUUAAACUGUUCGUGGGCUUUCACGGUUGAAACUAUGGCCAUCCAUUCCGGUCUCAGUCCAUUCAUAAAGGUUACCUUUUGCUCGAUCAACUUUCUUUCAAUUCCAUGUUUGAUCAUAUUACUUAGGAGAUGAUUGAACCGAUCGAAAGUUUGUAUGAGUUUCACCUCCGGUUUCUGUUCAAAAGCUCCAAAUUCUGACAGCAGCAAGGUUUGAAUGGAGUGUUCUAGAUCUUCAUCAGUCGAAUAAAGUUCCUUCAACCUAUCCUAGUUUUCUUUGGCAGUCGUGCAUGAACCGACCAACCGAAAAGUAUCAGAUUGUAAGGCAAAUCUGAUCAUUCUCAAAGCCUUCACAUUACACAGUAGCUUGUCUUUCUCGUCCCGUGGCAUCUUAUUUUCAUCCGCCACCAGCUUGUUGUAUUCCUUUUGAGUCUUAACAGUUGUGUUUGUUCCUGAGUGAACAAACGGCCCAAGUGUGAUAGCCUCCCAGAUGAGAUAGCCAUUAUCUUCCGAUNGGCCCAAGUGUAGCCUCCCAGAUGAGAUAGCCAUUAUCUUCCGAUCCAACCACGUAGUCUUCUAAGUCAUGUGCCCAAACUUCAUAGUCUUGAGUGUAAAGAAUGGGUAUUCUUGUUGUAGAUCCAAUGUUGUUUGAGAUGUUGAUGGAAUUUGUUUACGAAUCUUCGUGAACAAUGGUGAGCUCCUAGAAUCAAACCUGUAAACUUGAGAUUAGGGUUUUAUCUAAAACAGAGUUGUCGUUAAUAUGAAGCAGACGACUUCUAUUUAUACGAUAAAAGCGGAAACCCUAAAAGAAUUCUGAAUACAGAAGGAAUGUGUAUUGAUUACACAGUCUCCUGCUCUGAUACCAAUUGUUAGAACUUAGUUCAAUCAGGAUCGUUAGAUUCUAUGCAUGCAAACAAUUAAGAAAACAAAUAUAAACACGAAUAUGGCUUUGAAUAUGUCGUAUGAUUAAUACUUCAACGCCUUAGAAGAGCUCGACUAAGAACUUCGACAGUAGAGGUGUUUAGGGUUACAGAGAAUGAACGUAAUAAAAGUCGUAAACUAGAUAAUCACUGAUGGACAGGCCCAAUCCGGAUACAAAACAAAAAGCCCAUGACGCAACACAAUUAAGCUCUACAAUUUUAUUUCAUCACACACCAACUAUUUCAUUUACCCAUGUUCCAUCUGCAACAUAUUUGUAGAUAUAAAAUAAAUAUACCAUUUAAAUGUUUUAAAACAUGUAUAAAAUCGUUCAUCCAGCAUAGACAGCAAGUAUUCAAAUAAUAUGCACACAUAGCACGUAAUUUAUAUAAAAUAUUUCAUAUCUAUGUGUAAGAUGAAAGUAACUAUGCACUCACAUGAAAAGGUGGUGAUUCCGAACUCAGACAGCGCUUCGUUUCUUAAAAAUAAUUUCCUUCGACGAAACCUAGUAUUAUUACCACUAGAGUUUAGUCUAUUAUUCGUCGAGACUAAUUAAUAGUCUAGCUAUUAUUACUAUUAUAUAAGCGUUAAACAAUACUUAUAUAACCCAUAAUAAUAGCCCAAGUACUUAUUAUAAGUUCCUAAUAACCUUGCUAUAAUUAAAUAAAAGUUAUAUUAAAAAUAGCAUAAGCGUAGCUCACUUACAGCGGGUUUUAUAGAAAAUCGGGCUUUCCUUGAAGCAGCAUUCCCGAGCCGAAAAGCUCUUCUUCUCGAAGCCGUCUAGCACUCCGGGGCUUCCGCCUCGUGCUAGGGAGGUUCCCUGAGCUUUUCGGGGGGUUUCGAGGCUAGAGAGAGGUUCUAGAGAGAGAGAGAGAGAGAGAGAGAGAGGGGAAAGAGAAACNAGAGUAAAGAGAAGAAAAAAUGGGAAAUGUGUGAAGAAAAUGAGGGUAAUAGAGGUUCUAUUUAUAGGGUGAAAUAUGGCUGAACUUGGUGCCACAUGUCACCAUCUGGUGGCAAGACUUGGGGAGAAAGCAAUGGCCAAGAUUGUGCCACGUCACCCAUUUUCGCACAACACACUUUCAACUUCUAAAAUCCGUAACUUUCACAUACAAGAUCCGUUUUUGACGUUAUUUAUAUUCAUGCGUAGGUAAACAUAAGAUCUACAACUUUCAUUUUGACUCCGUCGGCUAAUUCUCGACCGAUCUUAUAUUUAACAGUACGAAAAGAUUAGACUGUUAAAUGACCGCGAAAAAUUCGUAACUCCUUCAUACAGACUCUAUUUUCGUCUGUCUUUUUACUAUUGAGUUCCUAUUAAUGAUAUCUUCAACUCUCAUUUAGGUCGCGUAAGCCAAAAACCGCUCGAACUAAAAUUCGAGUUUCGGGUCGUGCACUGCUAAGCUAAAUCUUAGAAAAAUCAUAACUUUCUCAUACGAACUCAGAUUUGGGAAUUGUUUUUAUGGACGCUCUCAGGUUAACAUAUUCUAUGACUUUCAUUUAGAUCACUAAGCCUAAAAGUCGCUCUAUCAUAAAUUCACUAUUUACGUCUCCCUAGUGUCGUGUCGGUUCUGUUGCGAAAUUUCGACAGGUCAUAACUUCUUCGUUAUAACUUGGAUUUUGGCGCUCUUUAUAUGUACGGAACCCUUGAUACAUAUUCUACAACUUGGUUAAGAUUAUUUAUUCUAAAUAAUCUUUUGUCAAAAAUUUGUUUUCGACCCCUAUUAUCUCUAAAUUGACUAGUCCGGAUCUUACGGGCGUUACAUUUUCUUAUGCCAACAUACCUUCUUUCUCCCCCUUGCACCUCUAUAACAAGAGGUGGGGCACCCAUUGGCAUUACUGGGAGAAGUUUCGCAACUGGAGCUAAUUCUUUAUGAAGUAUGGAGUCGAGCAAGGUAAUCUUUUGAUUGAAGAACUCAGGAGUAAAAAUUGAAGAAGUCGAAGAUCCAGACUUUGAAAAAAGUUCCUUUAACUCAGCCAGUAACUUUUCCAUAUCACCAAAACUGGUAGCAUCAAGUUCCACCUUUUUGUCAAACUUGGGAACUAACGAAUUAUACCAUUCAAUAGCUUUUGUUACUGCAUCAACAAUUAUAUCUACCUUCGUAUGAAGGGUAGAAUGAUUUUGAUUGAGAACUGAAAGUUCUUUUGCCAUAUCAUCCCUUAACUCCUAUAUUUUGAAGUUGACAUUCUCUUGAACCGUCUUGACAUCUUGCUCAUGGAGAACAUGCUUGGCUUUUUCAAUGUCUUUCAAAUCUCUAAGGGUGCCAUUAAAUGUAUUAGAUUGAGCUUUGACCCUUAGCUCAUUACUUUGAUUAAGUAGAUCAAGUUUAUCCUGAAUUCGACGUUCUUGAACUUUUAACAUGACCUCCAUCUCAAUACCCGACACUGAAUUUUUUCCACCACCAUCAGCUUGUAAUUGGAUCAAUGAGUUAAUUUUCUGAUUAAGAAUCUUAAAUUUCUUUCCAUACAUCGUCAUAUGAUCUGGAAUAUCCUCCUCAAUAGGAUCAAACUCAAUAUUUGCAAAAGAAUUCACAAACCCGCCAUCUUUUUCAACUUCUUUAGCAUACCAGAUUGCGAAGGUAUUACUUCCUUAUCAGACUUUGAGAAUGUUUUAUGAGCAACAACUGGAGGUGGCUCAGUAUGCACCUUCUUAUUCUUAGCAGCCUUAACAACCUUCUCAACUUGAUCAGGUUGUUGUAUGUAUGAAGGUUCCUUCACAACUUUCAUAGAUCCCUUCUUCUUCUUAAAUGAACUAGUGGUUGUAGUGAACAACACACCAGUUUCGAUGUCUGGAUUAAUGGUCUUCAAAUAGCUUACCAACACAAGAUGAGAUGGAUCCACCUUGCAAAGCAUGAGAUUUGGAAUUCUACCAACUGAGGGAAAAACAUUUGUAUCAUCUGCAACAGUUUUUGGAUGAUGAAACACAGAGAAUAUAGCAGUUUCUUCGUUGUCCGAAACCAAUAUCCCUUCCUUCUCAUACACAAACUGUAGAAUGAGGCUCUAGUAGCGAGCACGUGAAAUGCCAUCAACAAUAUUCGUGUUCCCUAUACUUUUUACCUACUCAUUCCAUAGUUGAGUUGUAUAAUCCACUAGCAACUCAUAGUCUAACCCUACGACCAGUGUAUAAACUUCCAAACGGCCUUUAUCCAACUCAACUGUUUCUCCAGUUAAACAUUGAAGAUAGAUCCUAUAGAAAAAAUUCCACAUAAAAGGUAAACAUGAUUUCUUGAACUCGUUGAUUUUAGUGAGAAUAGGUUGAUAACUUGUCUCAUUGAAUAUAUGGAUAAUUUGUUCAUUGGUUACCUUGUAGAAGGGUUCAACGUUAGAAAGACCGAGAAUCUAAGCAAAAGUCUUCUUGGAUAAUUAAAAUUUCUUGUCAUUCACCAGUUGAAAAGUAAUUGUGUUCAUCGUCUUGCUAAAUGUAGUCGUCGAACAAGCAAGAGAUAGCCAUGCAACAGGUAUAAAGAAAGAACUAAACAUCACCUUUGAUAAUGCAGAAUGUUGAAGAGCAACGAUAAGCAUCUUUAGUUCCUCGGGAUAAACAAAGACAUUAUCAUGAACUUGGAAAUUGGUGCUUUUAAUCUUCAUCAUCGGUUGCAAUGUGAUAUCUUUUGUAGUUUGUGAUGGAUCAACUUGAACAUUUGUAGCAGCCAUGGUUAGGGCUUGAAAAUUUGGUGAAGACAGAAAGUUCUUGUAAUUUGGGGAUUUUCAGUAUGCGUAAAAUUAGAAUGAACCCGAAAACCCCUUUUUAUAUGUAACUGGAAUUUUUGAAUUUGAAGCGGUUUCUGGCAUUAAAUGAGGCUGACGUGGUUCCCUGAAAAACGUAACAAUCGCUAGAAAAGUAGUCAUGUGUGAAAAGUGAUGUGCACUUUUUCCUUGAAAACAGGAGAAGAACUCAAAACGUCACAUCAGUCAAUCGUUUUGCUUGUCCCCAUUGAAUGAGAAUCGUCAGUAACCUUCACUACGGAGGUUGGGCUCUUUCACUUUUGAGUUUUAAAACAAAAUCAUGUGCCAGACUUUCGAAAUCAUCAACCUAAGUUAGUAUUACUCAGAACCUCAAGGAUUUCGUGAGUGCAAAGUGUUCCAAAUAAAAAGAUAAGAAUCAAGUUAAAAAAAAUUUGGAUACUGUGAUGUCAAAAUAUAUUUCGAUGCAAAAGCAGUUUGAUCCCGUUCGUUAUGCAUCAAGAGAGAUGACUAACAGCUUGUGUGGUUUCCCGUGAAUUACAAUCGAAUAUUUAUAGAGAAGUAUCAAAGGUCUUCUUUUAUCAGGAUUUAUUGGUGGCUACAAAUUUCGUUACAAAUCACAUCUAAACAAAAGAGUGACAAAUUGUAAACAAAAUUACCUGUUUGACCCAUGUAGUCAGUGACAACUAAGCUUUGGAAAAAUUUCAAGUAAUGAAGAUUUAGGUGCUGUUUGUUUUUUUUGAAGAAAAAAUUCAUAAAAUCUGCGAACCACCUCUGCAACCCUCUACAGUAGAAAAGGUGGACCAAAUGGCUGCAGAAUGUAAUGAGAAACGUGUUUGUUUUUUUAACAUCUGCAUGAUGCUGCAGAUAUUAAAAAAUUAAAAUAAACUGAUUUUAUAAUCCGAAAAUAUGUUUUUUAAUACCAAAAAUUUAAUAAUGUAUAACAUUUCGCCAAGAAUUUAUGAUAUUUCAGCAAAAAAAUAAUGAUAUUUUAACAGAAAAUAAAGAUAUUUUAGCAUAAAAUAAUGAUAUUUCAUCAAUAAAUUAUUAUUAUUCAAUAUAAAAAAAGAAAAAAAAUUCAACAAGAAUAAACAAAAAAACAAAAAUAUGUGAAAUAUGUUUUCAGCAAUAUAUAAUCAAUAUUUUAGAAAGAAAAAAAAAGAAUAAGAGGUUGGAAGAGGUUGGAAGAGGCAAAACAAUUGAUGCGCCAAGAAGAACACGCGCAAAUGUUUUUUAAUCUGAAGACUUUAGAAAAACAAAGAGUUGUGAGAUGAAAAGUGUUGUGCGUGUGCUGCGCCGCACAACAAUAAUAGGUCUAAAGAGGUUUUUUCCAUAAAACAAACAACACCUUAAAAGGACACUCACACGGAAAUCAUAUUCCACAAAACAAAAUGAUACCUGGAUCGUGUUGGGUAACAAAAGUCUUGGGUUUCGAACAUUUGGUCAAGAUCACUCGAAAUGAAAGAAUAUGAUUUGGAGUAUCGAAAUUACGUACGGAAACAAAUGUUUCAUGAAAAUAUGGAACAAAUUUCCCCAUCAAUUCCUUAAAUGGUUCGGUAUUUUGGGUUUCACUUUCAUCACAGUCUCAUGAAUCCAGAUCAUAAACACAGAUGUUUGGUAUGUUUAGAUCCUGAUUGGUUUAUACCAGAGAUCUCUUGUACAUAUUUCAUUGUGUGUGUAUGUGUAAGAAUCGUAGGAUGAAAAAGAUUGGUUUAAGAUUCGAAAGUACCUAUUGGACCAAGCAGGCAACUCUUAACUCAUGUGAGAAAAGUAAGGUAGAUCAGAGACUAAUGUGAAUACAACCUAAUUGGGUAGGUAUCCUUGUGAUGAGAAAACCAUUAAGGCUUUUGAAAACACAUUGAUUCAUGGAGGCUUAGGUCAAUAUGCUGCAGUAUGCUUCUAGGGACAUCCUAACUAGGAUAAAGUUUCGAAAGUAUACCUUUCCCUCAAGCAGCAAGCAUGAACCAAUCAAAAAUCUUCGCAAAAUUUUGCACAUUACAAUAUUAACAAAACAAAAAUAUUUUUGGAUUUUUAAGUUUUGAAAGAAAAUAAUAAAAAUAAGAAAAUCUUUUUGAUAUUUUUGAAUUUUGAAAGAUAAAAACAAAAAUGAAAAUCUUUUUGUUAUUUUUGAUUUUGUAAAAAGAAAGAGAAAAAACAAAUCUCAUUGUACCUGACUAGCAAAAAAUUGAAAAUAGCAAAAGUAACAAAGAUGUUAGCAAACCAAUUUUCCAUGAUGUCGAAAGCGAAACAUGUUGUAGCGUUGACUAUGAACAGUAACCAAUGAAUCAACAGUUUUCGACCAUUGUGCCUUGUCAUUCUAACGAAGAUUGUAGUGCAAUAGAAUUUGCAUCCGUCGGUCCCAAUCCAUUUAGAAUUCUUAUGAAAGAUUUUUCAUCUACGAGUUUUGUAAAGAUAUCAGCAAGCUGAUCAGUUGUCUUUACAAAAUGAACUUCUAUGUUUCCAUCUUCAACGUGAUCUUUGAUAAAAUGAUAUCGAAGAACAAUGUGCUUGGUUUUUGAAUGUUGCACACGGUUAUGGCAGAUGCGAAUGGAACUUUGUGAAUCACAAUACAACAGAAUUUCUUCAUGUUGAUUGCAAAAUCAUGCAGUUGAUUUUGUAUCCAAAUGAUUUAAGAAGUGCAAGCUGCAGCAACAACAUAUUCAGCUUCUGUUCUGGAUAUCGAAACACAUGUUUGUUUCUUCGAUUGUCAGCUUACAAGCUUCCCAUCCAAUAAUUGACAUCUGCCAUUUGUGCUUUUGCGAUCAAGAUUACAACCUCCUAAGUCAGCAUCUGAGAAUGCUUGUAUGAAAAAGCCUGUCUUUGAAGGAUACCACAAUCCUAACGUUGUUGUUCCUUUGAGAUAGCGAAAGAUAUUCUUGAGUGCUAUUAAAUGAGGUUCCCACGAAUUCAAUUGGUACCUAGCACGAAUUCAAAAUCCUUGUGCACUGCAUAGGCUAAAAAUAUUCGUACUACCUCGAUUCUUGUGGCAGGGGCAAAGGUUUUUUCAUAAUCGAUACCUUCUUGUUGUGAAUAACCUUUAACUACAAGCCCAGCCUUAUUUCUCACGAUGUAACCUUCUUUAUCCAUUUUUUUAUUUUUAAAAAUCCAUUUAAGACCAAUUAUCGAAGUAUCUUGUGGUUUAGGAACAAGUCUCCACACUUUGUUUCUUUCGAACUCAUCCAGUUUAGAUUGCAUAGCAACAAUGCAAUCAGCAUCAUCCAUAGCAAUCUUAACAGACUUCGGUUCAAUUUUUGAUAUAAAAACAUUGAACAUACAAAAUUCUUGGUGAGUAUGUAGUACCUCAUUUUUCGCACGAAUUUGAGCCCUCGUUAAUACUCCAUCUUGUGGAUCACCAAGAAUUUGAUCGUGUGGAUGAUUUCGAGUCCAUCUAUCCAUUAGAGGAUAUGCAGGAUCAAAAUCCAACGGAGCAUCUUCAAAUUCUUCAUCAUGGUCCAUGUCAUAUCAUGCAAUCGACACAUUGUCAAUCAUAUCUUGAAAAACAUCAUUUGAAGAAAUUGGUAUUGAGUCAUUUUGCUCCCCCUCAACAAAAUAAUCAUUUAUAUGAUGCUCCCCCUCAACAUUUGCACUUUCUUGAUUUUGGACGUUGUCAAAUGUUUGCUCCCCUCAACAUCAUCAGUCGAACUCAAGUGCUCCCCCUCCACUCGAGCACUAGGUUGAAUUGUUACACCAUCGACAUGUAUAGGAGAAUUUGUUGUUGAGUUCAAAUCAGCAAUUGGUUGUAAUAUUGUCGAAUCCUCAUUGAGUUUCGAUGCUUCAGGAAUUCGUUUAUCCUCAGCAUUAAUUUUUGCAUCAAUAGCCCUAUCAGGAGUAUGAAAAAUUAAAUCAUAAUCAAAAUCUAACGAAUUAAUACAUUCAAAUUCAUCAUUUGAUUUAUUAAUAAUUGGUUUUUGUUCAAAACAUUUUUCGAUGCUUUGACAUAGUGAUCAUCGAAUGUAAGAUUAAAUGUCUCUUCGAUCUUCCUUGUUCAGUUGUUAAGGACCCUAUAUGCCACAGAAUUAUGAAAUUAGCCUAAGAAUAUUCCUUCAUCAGCCUUAGAGUGAAAUUUUGAAAGAUUAUCCUUAAGAUUCAUAAUGAAGCACCUGCAACCAAAAACAUGGAAAAUUUUAACAUUUGGUUUCCUGUUGUUAACGAUUUCAUAAGGGGUAAUAUCAAAUCUUCUAAGAAUAAAAGACCGAUUUUGGGUAAAACAAGUGGUGGAAAUAGCUUCAGCCCAAAGAUAUUAUGGAAGAUUCGCAUAAGUCAACAUCGUUCUUGCUGCUUCACAAAAUGAUCGAAUUCUCCUUUCGACAACACUAUUUUGUUGAGGUGUGUAAGGAGACGAGAAACUGUGUGUAAUAUCUUUGUCAACCAAAAACGAAUCAAGAAUCUUGUUUUUGAAUUUUGAUCCAUUAUCAAUCUUGAUCUUACAAGCCUUUUUCUUUAGACUUAACUCGAUGUGUUUGAUAAAAUCAAUCAUCACUUGAGCUGUUUCUAAUUUUAAACAAAGAAAAUAUACCCAAGUAAACCUAGAAAAAUCAUCAACUAUAACCAAAAUGUACCUCUUUUUGUUGAGUGUUUCAACUGUCGAAUGUCCACAAAGGUCAAUAUGAAGAAGUUCCAAAGGUUCGAUGAUCUUCGAAUCAAUCACUAUUGGAUGUCCUUGUCGAUGUUGUUUUCCUUGUUCGCAAGCUGCAAAUAAAGUAUCAUUAUCAAAUUUUAAAACUGGAAAACCUCGAACAAGAUCUUUUACCACAAAUUUGUUCAAAUUCUUAAAAUUCAAAUGAGACAAUCUUCGAUGCCACAACUAGCUAAUGUCAGAGGAAGCCUUCAAAAGUAGACAAACUAAAGGAGCACCAACAAUGGAUUUGAUGUCAAGUGUAAACAUAUCGUCUUUUCGCUUUGAUUUAAGAAGAAAUUUUUUUGUUUCUUUGUUAGAUAUGACACUCCCUUCUUCUUCAAAAACAACUUGAUUGCCAGUACCCACAACAAGUUGCGAAACACUGAUCAAAUUGUGUUGAAGACCUUCGACAUAAGCAACUCUGUUGACUGUAAACUUCCCAUUGGCCAAAAUGACUAAAAAGAAAAAGUCUGAAUGUGUUAAGCCGAUGUCACAAAAUCAAUCUUUUGUUGAAAAUAAAAAGUCUUCAAAACACACACAAGUUCAAAAAGAUUUUCUAAAAACAAAGAACAAGUUUCGAAAUCAAAACAAACAUCUCAUGUUCAAAACUCAUAUCAUGAUGGUUAUGUGAAAAUCAUAAAACAAAGAAUUUUGUUCAAAACUCACAACAUCAAAGUUUUUCACAAAAUAAUUCUCAAAGAAAUGGCUUUCAAUCAAAUGAGAAAAAGAAUUAUCAUUGAGUUCCACAUCAAAAACAAUUUUCGAACCCACAAACAGUUUUUCCAAAACAUAAAAUUGGGUAUCAAAAUAGAUUUCAAUCUCGUUACAAAGCUGCAGUUCCAACGAGACUGCCAACAAGUAACUAUCAAAAGUUGAACGUCCAAAGGAGAAGAAAUGAACCUUUCAAACCAAAACAACCACAGUUUCCAAAUCCACCUUCGAAACAAAGAGUUAACACCUCAUUUGUUAAGGGAAAAACAGAUGUAAAGAAUAUAAAUCAUUGGUUGGAAGGAAAGGGAAAACAUUUCCAAUCAAGAAAAUUCUCUCAAUAACAGAUUAAGGAAGCAUAUAAGAAAUAUCUAAAUGAAUCAUCAAGUGAAAGUUCUUCAACAAAAUAUUCGAAUCCUUCUGUUCAACAAUGGAGAGCAAUUUCGAAAGAAAAAGUCAGUGAGACUCAAACUAAGAAGUGUAAGGAGAAAGUUAAUGUUAACUUUAAACCUUCAAAUGAUUACAUUUCGAUACCCUUAAAUAAUGAAGUAGACUUAACUGAUAAUGUCAAGUCAAAAGUUUAAAAUUAGAUAAUAGGAUCUGCAUUACAUCAAACAUUUUGUUCUAAUCAUCAAGGACCCAAACAACCUUGGGGACCUAAAAUUUCUACUGAUUACAGGUUUUGUGUGACGGGAAAUAUGAUGAUAAAUGGUAUAUCGAUAGUGGUUGCUCUCGUCACAUGACUGGGAAGAAGGAAAACUUGAGAGAUUAUCAAAGUCUUGAAAAUGCUGGUGUAGUAAAGUUCGGCAAUAAUAACAAGUGGUAUCAGAGCCAAUUGCGAGGGUUCGAUUCUCACAGGGAGCAAUUUCUGAGGAGGGAUUGUUGGGGGUCAGAAAUGGCAUCAACCAAGUCCUCGCACGAUGGCCUGGAGUGCCGCAAUCGAAUGCUUGUUCCUAGAUGGCUGAAUGCGCUAUAUGGGUAAGGUUGCGCCCUUUCUAACACCAAUUGGUUUUAAAUCAACCGAUAGCGCUGAUGCUCAACACUCUAUUAAAUGUCACUUUGAUGCUCGACUUUGACUUUAUAAAAUAUCACUUUUAUCUCCUCGAUUUUUUAAACCUUAGUGUUAACCUCAUCCACUAACAGUGGUAUCAACCUUAUAUAUUUAUUACCAAUAAAUAUAACGUUGUCUAACUUUUAUCAAUACAAUUAUCAAAAUUCGAUUUACAAAACAUAUUAGCGUCCUUGUAAUACGGGCAAAAUAGUAGUUAUUUUUAAAUGUUAGAAUGAUUUGAAUCAAUACUUGUGUAUUUUAUUAUUAUUAUUAUAAUUAUUAUUGCAGCUAUUAAAAACAACUUGGGUAUCUUUUUUAAUUUAUUUAAAUAAUAACAAAAUAAAUAAUUAAUUUGUUUAUGUUAUUUGUUUGAUUUUGUUCCUUAAGUACAAUGUACUUCAAACGUUCCUUUUGUCCCUGAAUAAUUUUUUUUUUCAAUGUAGGUUAUGCUUCCUUGGUGAAUGUUGAAAUCUAAAAAAUUUGGAAUUAGAUUUUUGGGAUAUAGAUUAUUGGAGGCAAAUAGCUUAAAAGAAAUUUUAUAAAUAAUUUGUAAAAAAUGUUAUUUAGGGAUAAAAGAUAGAAGUAGUUGGAGAUGACAUAAACUUUGUUAAUUUGGAAAUUUUACAUAGACCCCCUUAUACUUUUGAAUUAUUUCCCAUAUACAACAAAGUUUCGGUGGCCCAUGUGAAAAUAUAUUCCAGCUGUAUAAAGCCGUUACAUGGUCCCACAAAAAACAACACGUAUAACGUGUAAUUAUUGUCAUUGUGGGACCCACACGUACGAACACAGCGAACAUUGUUUACCUUAACGGCUACUUAUACUCGCGUCUCCGGCUCUUUACUCUUCAUCCCUUCCCUCACUCUCUCUCUCAAACACACACAAACAGUCUCACUUUCUCUCUCUAGAAACAAACAUGGAAAUGAAGAACGUCGUCGUUCUAGCAUUCAUCUGCGCCAUUUUCGCCGCCGUCGGAGGUCAAGCCCCAGCUGCUUCCCCAACGAUUGCGCCUCCUACGACUGUCGUAACGCCUACUGCUUCACCAACCGUAGCACCGCCGGCGAAGUCUCCAGUUUCUGCUCCUCCGAUGGUUUCUGUUCCUACACCGGUUAGUUCACCACCUGCUGCGGUGCCAGUGAGUUCUCCACCUGCUGCGGUGCCGGUGAGUUCUCCUCCAACGAUUGAAUCUCCACCGGUUCCUGAACCAGUGAGCUCUCCUGCACCAGAGAUUGCUUCUACACCUGAAGCUUCUGCUCCGGCACCCAGCAAGAGGAAGACGAAGAUGAAUGCUCCAUCGCCGUCGCCUACCGAGGCACUUUCUCCUGGACCGAGUGGCGACGACUCUCCCUCUCCUGCUCCUAAUUCAGCCGACGUCGCCGACGAGGUAAUUCCGAUGUCUUACUUUUAGCUAAACUUAACCACUUUAUGCUUUUAUUUUUUAUUUUAUAAUUUAUAAUUUUAUAAUUUUAAUUUUAUAUAAUUUGAUUUAUUAAUUGGUGUGAAAAUGGAAAUUUGCAGAGUGGAGCCGACAGAUUAAAGAU
Molecule: long non-coding RNA, 27726 nt
Filed under: Lactuca sativa (garden lettuce)
Lineage: Eukaryota; Viridiplantae; Streptophyta; Magnoliopsida; Asterales; Asteraceae
Description: long non-coding RNA (LSAT_LNC004558)
Source: RNAcentral